ACCCACUAGUCACUGCCUGCCAUUCUGAAAAUUACCCGUUUACUCCUACUCUUUGCUUCCUGUCUGCCAGCCAGUUCGUUAUCCAGAUCAAUACUGAACCACCAGUACCGUGUGCUUUACGUAUGCCUACGAGUCUCUAAUGUGGGACCUUGUCGAAAGCCAUCUGAAAGUCCAUAUACACAACAUCCACUGCUUUACCCUCAUC
Molecule: long non-coding RNA, 205 nt
Organism: Amblyraja radiata (thorny skate)
Lineage: Eukaryota; Metazoa; Chordata; Chondrichthyes; Rajiformes; Rajidae
Exons: 3
Source: RefSeq, a predicted model, not a curated record